Molecule: transfer RNA, 77 nt
Filed under: Nitrospira sp.
Lineage: Bacteria; Pseudomonadati; Nitrospirota; Nitrospiria; Nitrospirales; Nitrospiraceae
Also listed under: 20 other names
Description: tRNA-Ile
Rfam family: tRNA
About the family: Transfer RNA (tRNA) molecules are approximately 80 nucleotides in length.
Source: RNAcentral
GGGCCUAUAGCUCAGCUGGUUAGAGCGCACGCCUGAUAAGCGUGAGGUCAGUGGUUCAAAUCCACUUAGGCCCACCA